This 5082-nucleotide long non-coding RNA is filed under the name Sus scrofa (pig). Its description in RNAcentral is "lncRNA (ENSSSCG00025026563.1)". Lineage: Eukaryota; Metazoa; Chordata; Mammalia; Artiodactyla; Suidae. The record is from RNAcentral.
CAGUAUGUAGGUCAGCAUUUCUCAGUGGAGCAUAGUUCAAAACCACACAUUUGCCAAAGGUCAUGUAUCUUCCUCCUGAUGCCAAUUAAUGGAUUCUGUAUGUCUUCCGAGUCCUGGUCUUGCUCAGAAGCAUAUCACCAGCAGAACCUGUGAGAAUCUUCCUAGCAAGUAGGUUGGAAAAUGUAGAUGCCCAUCAAAGGAGAGCAUAAGAGAACAUAGCAAAACAAAGGAGGAGUUCCCGGUGGCCAAUAUAAUAUCUAAUACUACUGGUUUCACUCAAACACAUUGCUGUGUUUCUAUUUUUUCCACAGCGCAAAGUUUUCUCUUAUACCUGGGUCUGUGCAGUGUAAACAAAGGACACAUCGACUAUUAAAUUUAGAAUAUUUCUUUUAAAGAACAUGGACCAUAUCUUGCUUAGGAAACAUACUACACCUUACAAAAAUGAGGCAUUACCUCCCUGCUAAAUGUCACUGCUUCACAUACAUGACUGUCUAACAGAAAAGUACUGGGCAAUGGUUUGCAUGUUUUCUUUUUCCCAAGGUCUUGCUACUUCUAAAGGGCAGCCAAAUGGGCAAGGGGAAUCCUGGGUCCAGAAGAGAGAAUAGUUAGAAAGAUCUUUCCAGAGAAAGGAGUUAAAGUUCUCAUGCCUAUACUUGAAUAUCAGCUAAGUCUUCAUCAAUAUCCCAAUUUUAAACAGAGGGAUUUGACAACAGUAUGACAUACAAAUUCACGAAAUUGCAUAUCCAUCUAAGACACUCAAUUAAUAUAUUCAUAGGAAAAUUUAAAAAUAAGCAAAUGGAAAAUUGCAUAAUUCAAUGGUAAAAUCACCCAGACCAAGGAAAGAGUAUAGAAUAAUAACAAAUUUUAAGGUGAAAGAAAAAAUGACAUUAAAACAACAAAAGAACUUAUAAGGAGUUAUUAUUAUUAUUAUUUUAUAAUCACUGAAAAUUCAAAUCUAGGGGAAAAGAUCGCCUUCUUGAAAAACAAAAGUAAUUUCACAAAGUUUUUUUUAACUUCAUUAAUGUCUACAUUUCAUGAAUCCAUAUACCAGUAUAGGGAUAGUCACAAGUUCUAACCACACAUUUUAUUGUGUGAUGAAAUUAACUACAAAAAUAAUAAUUAUUAAGUGCGUGAAAACAUGAGCUUCCCACACAAACUUGUCAUAGACCUUAAACUAACAAAAAGACUGUAAGUAGGACACUGCAAAUAUAGCAAGAUUUGCUCAUUAAAGUCAUCUUUACUUUUGUUGUGGGAAUCCUGACAUAAUAGCAAAGAUGUUUCAGUUAUGAGGGCGUCUUUCUGCCUAAUAAACAAUAGAUCCUGAAGUUUAAAGGCAAAUUAAUGUAAAACAUGAGGCUACCUCCUACCUGUGGUUUGUCCCACCACAAAGAAGGGUUUAUAAAAGGCCCUGGAUAGAUGUUAAUACUCACACAGAGGAAACAGAUAAUCUGCUCCUCAAUUGAAGUUUCCAUUCCCUACAGCAUGUGCUAUUAUAGCAACCACUUUGGUAACCUGGUCUGUGGCUGUGGCUGUGGCUGUGGCAGGUACAAAUAUGGCUGCUGCUGCCCAUCUUGCUGGGGCAGGUCGUGGUCCUACGGCUUCAAUUGAAAAACUUCUAGAGUCACUCAGUCUAUAGAAAUCUUCCUCCUGUGCCUCCCAAAUAUCUUUCCAGAGUUCUUCUCAUAAGUAAUUUAUUUUUCUUUCCAAACAGUGAAAAUUUCAUCCUAGACAACUUCAGCUUCAGAUCAAAUACUAUAAGCUCAGCUUGCUUCAAUUUGAUUGACGGAAGUCACAAGUAAUAUCUCACAAUUCAUAAAAAAUGUUCAUUGGAUAUUGCAUUCCUUCUUCCUUCAUUUUAACUUAACAAUGUUGAUGUGAAAAAUUUAAGUUUAUGUUUCAGUAUACUUCCUCUUUCACUGAGAAAUGUUUUGCAUUUACAUUCAUUUGUCUCUGCGAUUUAUAUGUAUAUGUAAGGACACAGGGAAAAAAUCUUUAGAGAUAUACAGACACACAUCUAGACAGUCUGGGUAGUAAAAUAAUAAUGUGUAUAAAACGGCUUUGCUUGUCAGAUAAGAGUGAACACUCUGUUCAGUAGCCGUGUGAAAUGCAGAGCUCAGGCGUUUUCCACCCCUCACUCAAUUUUCUGAUCACUCUAAAGAGUAAGGAUGUGCAACUAUAGAGGUCCUUUCGUUUGGCAAAACCCCCUUCAGUUAAAAUACAUAGAUUAAUGAAUGAACUUACUUUUUAAUACCUUAUAAAAAUACUAAUAACUCACCAGUAGCCACAUGCAAAACAUAUCACCUAAAGCAUGCUCUGUACAUGUUCUGUAUCUAGGCUUAUUCACCUCUCAUUGUGUUCUUCACUUUUCCUCACCAACACAUCUUGUUUCCUCCGUCGGACUCCAUGCUGAACAACGACAACAAAAUAUAUGCAAAAUGUUGUAUUUAACCUUAAAGAAAAUCCUAAAACAGAACAUUUUCUAACGACUAGUAAGACUUUCUAUAAGUACAAAUUUUUCUCCAUUUUCAUAAAGCAGCUCUGUUCUCAACUGAAAAGUGAGGGAGAUUGAAAGUGGUCCCCUGUCUUAUGUAUGCCCUCUGCUAUUGUGAGAAAAUGUCCACAGGAAUCACAGGGCAACCACAAGACAGAAGUGACCACAGAGGAUGAGGCAAAAACUGAGAUGGCAAGAGAUAGAGAGAGAUAGAGAGAUGAUAGAUGAUAAAUAGAUAGAUAGAUAGAUAGAUAGAUAGAUAGAUAGAUAGAUAGAUAGAUAGAUAGAUAUAGAUAAUAGAGAGAAAUAUAGAUGUGGUGAAAUACAAUUGAGGAAUCUGCAUAAAGACACAGAAUUCCUUUUUACUGGUCUUAUACUUUUCUAUUUUAAAGACUUUGACAUAAAUUAUGACAAACAUUUUAAAAAAAAGACAAAUGCCUGAUCACCAAUUCUGUCCAAACUGCUCAUAUAAAAUGAUUUCAUGUGACUCUUAGACACUCUAAUCAUCUACAUUCGAUGUGUCUAAAUUCUUAUCCUCCUACAUUAAGGUUUUAAAUGAUGCAUUGCAUGCAAAAACAUCCCUAUUCUCAUCUAUUCAUACUGCUGUCAGUUUCUUGAUGCCACUGUGCUUCUGCGUGAUUGCAAUUUGUUCCUCCCACAUCACAUUCUUCUGAUUGCUUCUCUGAAGUUCAAGGGAAAAGAGCAGAACAUCUGCCAUUACUCCUGGUUGCUGACACAGUGGCUCUGCCUGACAAUCCUGUGCAAAAAUUCUUCCAGGAAAAAGCCAUGGUCACCAUCUAUUGCACAGCAACUUCAAAAAUCUGGAUCUUGGCUUCCCUUCUACACCACUGAUUGUUCUAUUUAUGGUUCCAAUUUUUCCUUUCAAGUCAAACAACCUAUUUAUUCACUGAUUCCAAUCUUCACUCCCUACUAACACAAGGAAUAAUGGGAAAAUGGAAUUUCAUUGGAAGAAAUAACAUUCAAGUAACAGAAACAAGAAAAAGUAGGAACUUCAAAAAAUCCCAUACCUAUUAAAGAAAAUAACCUGUAUUUCAUGUUAUCUAUCUAUUUACUUUAUGUUUUUUUGUCUGCACCCAUGGAAUAUGGAAGUUCCCAAGCCAGGGAUCAAAUCUGAGUUGCAGCUGUGACCUGAGAUGCUGAAGAGACAAUGUAGGUUUACCCACUGCACCACAGUGGGCACUCCUCAACCUGUACUUUAAAGCAAUUAAUCAGGGAAUUCCCAUUGUGGCUCAGCUGAAAGAAUCUGACUGGCAUCCAUGAGGAUACAGGUUCAAUCCCUGUCCUUGCUCAGUGGGUUAAGGUUCCAGCAUUGCCAUGACAUGUGGUGUAGGUUGCAGACACGUCUUGGAUCCUGUUUUGCUGUGGCUAUGGCAUAGGCUGGCAGCUACAGCUCCAGUUCGACUCCUAGCCUGGGAACCUCCAUAUGCCUUGGGUGCUGCCCUAAAAAGACAAAAGACGAAAAAAAAAAUCAUGCAAAGAAAAUUUCAGGCCCAAAUGGCUUCUCUGGUGAAUUAUUUAAACCACUUAAGAAUAAAAUAAACUGACAAUUAUAUUAAUACUCUUCCACAGAAUAGGAAAACGGCAACACUAACAAAAUCAAAACCUAACAAAGACACUACCAAAAAGCACUAUUUUUUGUGAAUGUGGUUAUAAAAAUCCAAAAUGAUAUUUUAUCAAAUCCAAAUCCCAUGAGCUAUAUUCUAAGAUUGCAAAAUCUUAGAUUGGUUUAAUAUCUUAAAAUUCAGUCAAUGUAGUUCACCACAUUAAUGGAAAUAGAAAGAAUGUCAUAUGAAUAUCUUAAUAGAUUCAAAUAAAAUAUAAAAUUUAGUAUGCAUUCAUGAAUUUUUGAAAAGCUCAGUAAACUAAAACCUAAAAAUAAUUUUCUCAAUUUGAUAAAUGUCAUCUACAUGAAAUCUACAGCUAAUAUAACAUACUUAAUGCUGACAUAUAAAAUAGUUUCAGCCUGAGUUUAGGAACAAGACGAAGAUAACCCACUAUCACAAUUUAAUAAAAGUUUGUGCCACUUUGAUCAAUUUUUCACUGGAGGUCUUAGCCACUCCAAUAUACGUAAAUAAAUAAGUGCGAAAAUGUAAUAAAGACUGGAAAGGAAAAUGUUGAUCUGCCACUAUUAAUAAAUGGCAUAAUUGUGUAUGUGAAAACGGGGGCUGAUUCAGAAGUAAGAUAAGGACAUGUCAGUGGAAAAAAAAAGAGAUUCUAUAAACAGACUCAAACUUAUAGGGUCACCAGAUUUAUUUUACUAAGAUACCACAGCAGCACAGAAAAUGAAAGGAUUGACUUCACAAUAAAUAAUGUUAGAUGAAUUUCAUAACAAUAUAAAAGAAGAUGAAUCUUUGUUCAUAACUUGCACCAAAAUAAGAUAUACGAGUCCCUUGCUUAAUUUGGAGUAGGUAAUAAUUUCUUAAACAGGAUACAAAGAGCGCUAGCUAUAGAAAAAUAUUAAGUUAGCACCAAAAUUAAAGAUUUCUAUUUUAAAAGUGAAAAACCUACUGACAGGGAUUAGAUAUUUAUAAUAAAUCUAUCUAAGGGAGGACAAAAAUUAAUAAAAAUAA